CAUCUUAGUGACAGUCCAGAACAACUUUCCAUUGUAAAAAUAUAACAUAAAAUUAUGAUAAUGACUAAGGUGGGUCCGAAUUUUACCCCAAAUAACUGAGAUCAAUGAAUGAGAGUUCUUCCAUGGUGACAUUCACAAAAGUAGAGCCCAUAAGAGGGAGCACUUUCUGCCCCUUCCGAGGCUGGUGGCAGCUGAUGAAAUGGCCUUUCAAUAACUUAUUGACUGCACCAUCACAAGCAUGUCAAGAUCAGGGAAA
Molecule: long non-coding RNA, 256 nt
Filed under: Mus spicilegus (steppe mouse)
Lineage: Eukaryota; Metazoa; Chordata; Mammalia; Rodentia; Muridae
Description: lncRNA (ENSMSIG00000024530.1)
Source: RNAcentral